GGUGCUAUGGAUGGGGCUAGCGGAUGAGUAUGACAUCGGUGCCUACAACCUCUACUGAUGAGCCUGAGCCAUGUUGCAUCUGAACGGAAGCCCACUACCCACGCUGCUCCCACACCGAGGCCCUCCGACCGUGGGCGCUGCCGGUGGCUACCAUGUGCUCCACCUUUGCACCUACUGCUGCAGUGCAUACUUCUUCCCCCCCAUGUCUAGCAGUGCCAGGCAAAGCAGGACUUCUGUAGAGUUAUGCGAUGGGUACAAUUAGAUAUAGCUUGAAGUUGCAUUUUACGCGUUGAGCUAUCACAUUGUAGACUAACUUGUACAUUUUUUCUUUUGUAGUCCUUCUUGCUUACUUUCACAUUAGUUAUGGGAGCUCUAAUGUUCAUGUUGAUGUCACUAAGACAAGGUAAGAAUUAUGAAUCUUCUGAAACAGACAUUUG
RNAcentral lists this long non-coding RNA (437 nucleotides) under Zea mays. Its description in RNAcentral is "long non-coding RNA (ZMAY_LNC000863)". Lineage: Eukaryota; Viridiplantae; Streptophyta; Magnoliopsida; Poales; Poaceae. The record is from RNAcentral.